UUUCCGGUUGAUCCCGCCGGAAGUCACUGCUAUCGGGGUUCGAUUAAGCCAUGCGAGUCGAGAGGGUUCGGCCCUCGGCGUACUGCUCAGUAACACGUGGAUAACCUGCCCUAAGGAAGGGGAUAACCCCGGGAGACUGGGGAUAAUACCCUAUAGGUUAUAGAUGCUGGAAUGCUCUGUAACUCAAAGUUCCGGCGCCUUAGGAUGGAUCUGCGGCCGAUUAGGUUGUUGUUGGGGUAAUGGCCCAACAAGCCUGUAAUCGGUACGGGUUGUGGGAGCAAGAGCCCGGAGUUGGAUUCUGAGACACGAAUCCAGGCCCUACGGGGCGCAGCAGGCGCGAAAACUUUACAAUGCGGGCAACCGUGAUAAGGGAACCUCGAGUGCCUGUAUAUGCAGGCUGUCCAGGUGUCUAAAACACACCUGAAGAAAGGGCCGGGCAAGACCGGUGUCAGCCGCCGCGGUAAUACCGGCGGCUCGAGUGGUGGCCACUUUUAUUGGGCUUAAAGCGUUCGUAGCUGGGUUGUUAAGUCUCUUGGGAAAUCUGGCGGCUUAACCGUCAGGCGUCUAAGGGAUACUGGCAAUCUUGGAACCGGGAGAGGUGAGGGGUACUUCGGGGGUAGGAGUGAAAUCCUGUAAUCCUCGAGGGACCACCUGUGGCGAAGGCGCCUCACCAGAACGGCUUCGACAGUGAGGGACGAAAGCUGGGGGAGCAAACCGGAUUAGAUACCCGGGUAGUCCCAGCCGUAAACGAUGUGCGUUAGGUGUAUCGACGACCACGAGUCGUCGAGGUGCCGAAGGGAAACCGUGAAACGUACCGCCUGGGAAGUACGGUCGCAAGGCUGAAACUUAAAGGAAUUGGCGGGGGAGCACCACAACAGGUGGAGCCUGCGGUUUAAUUGGAUUCAACGCCGGG
Molecule: ribosomal RNA, 913 nt
Filed under: uncultured Methanoculleus sp.
Lineage: Archaea; Methanobacteriati; Methanobacteriota; Methanomicrobia; Methanomicrobiales; Methanomicrobiaceae
Description: bacterial SSU rRNA
Rfam family: Archaeal small subunit ribosomal RNA
Source: RNAcentral